GUCCGAUUAGCUCAGUUGGUAGAGCAUCUGACUUGCAAGCAGAAGGUCACAGGUUCGAGUCCUGUAUCGGGCU
This 73-nucleotide transfer RNA is filed under the name Mercenaria mercenaria. RNAcentral's name for it is "transfer RNA alanine (anticodon UGC)". It matches the Rfam family "tRNA". Rfam says of the family: Transfer RNA (tRNA) molecules are approximately 80 nucleotides in length. Their secondary structure includes four short double-helical elements and three loops (D, anti-codon, and T loops). The record is from RNAcentral. Lineage: Eukaryota; Metazoa; Mollusca; Bivalvia; Venerida; Veneridae.